ACGUUGCGUUGGAAAGUUUCAUGAACCUUAUCACUUAAAGGAAGGAGAAGUCGUAACAAGGUUUCCGUAGGUGAACCUGCGGAAGGAUCAUUC
Molecule: ribosomal RNA, 93 nt
Filed under: Symbiodinium sp. Oku10
Lineage: Eukaryota; Dinophyceae; Suessiales; Symbiodiniaceae
Description: partial 18S ribosomal RNA
Rfam family: Eukaryotic small subunit ribosomal RNA
Source: RNAcentral